AUGAAGUUCAUUGUGAAGAUUUCAGGGGAGUUGAUCGUUGGUAUAGCAUUGAAGAAGAUGAUUGUUGUUAAGGCAUUUAUUAUAAUGAUAUUUAUAUAUUCAGCUAUGAAAAAUAGGGCGAAUGGGCCAGCGGCGUAUUCUACGUUGAACCCUGAGACUAGUUCUGAUUCACCCUCUGUUAGAUCAAAUGGUGCUCGGUUUGUUUCUGCCAGGGUGGAAACAAAUCAUAUUAUUGCCAAUGGCCAUGUGGAAAGAAGGAGUCAGGUGUUUUUUUGUGUUUCUAUUAAACCUACUAAGGAGAAUGAGCCAUUCAGUAGUAAUACAGAUAGGAACUUUAUUGCUAGGUUUAAUCAUGGAGUUUUUAUUGUUAUAUUGAUGAGCAAGUAAUGAUCAGAUUGAAAUCCUAGUUGAUUGCUAUAAUAUAGGAGAGUGGAUCAUUUAUGAUGAUGAAAGUGCAGUAGGUUUUCUUAGUGAAGAUCCUGCAGGAGUGGCAGCCAUUUAUAGUUACAAUUGUUGAUUAAUAUUUGUAGCUGGCUGAUCUAUGUUUGUUGGUAUUUUUAUUGCUAUUGAAAUUACUCGUGGAAAUUAGAUUACUAUAAAGAUAGCCAGAGUAAUAGAAAUUAAGAACGAUAGGAAAUAUAGUUUUACUAAUCCUGUUUGAGUUGAUGAACUGAUAGCUGCGGAAACUUGUAUGCUUGAGAUGCCCUUUGGAGCUACUUUUUCUAAUCAAAUUAAGUCUAGUAAGACCGAUGAUAAGUUCUGGCUCAUUAAAAGAUUUUUAUAAGGAACUGAUCGGUGCAUAAUAACUGAAUGGUAGCCUAAUAUAUUAGAGAAGUUGAAGGUCUUUGUUGAAUAAUUUAGUUUUAAAUUAUAGGCUAUAGAGGCUAGUUCUAUUGCGAUUGUAAGUCCAAUAAUUGUAACUAGAAGGGCUGAGGUUUUUAGGUAGGUUGGUAUGGUCAUUUGGUAUAUAGUUGUGGGUGGAAUACUGUUUGAGAUGAAAAACCCUGCAAAAAUGCUUCCUGCUGCCAGGCGGCUAAUUGAGUUGAUUAAUAUAGGGUUGUUUUCGUUGAUUGAGGCGGAUGAGUGAAAUCGGGGGGUUUCAAUUAUAGUGAAGAAUAAGAUUCGAACGCUAUAGGCUGCUGUUAAUGAUGUGGCAAUUAAGGUUAGGGUUAGUGCUCAUGCGUUGGUGUAGGAUGUAGUGGCGGCUUCAAUAAUCAGGUCUUUAGAAUAAAAUCCUGUUAGAAAAGGUAUUCCUGUUAGGGCAAGGCUUCCAAUAGUUAGGCAGGAUGAAGUUAUUGGCAUAACUUUAAAUAGACCUCCUAUCUUUCGGAUGUCUUGUUCAUCAUUUAGACUAUGGAUAAUUGAGCCUGAACAUAUAAAGAGCAUUGCUUUGAAGAAGGCGUGGGUGCAAAUGUGUAGGAAGGCUAAAUGUGGUUGGUUAAUUCCGAUUGUUACUAUUAUUAAUCCCAGUUGACUAGAGGUGGAGAAUGCUACGAUUUUUUUGAUGUCAUUUUGUGUGAUUGCGCAAAUUGCAGCAAAUAGUGUAGUAAUGGCCCCCGUGCAUAGAAUGCAUGUUUGAAAUAAGUAGUUGUCUUGUAUUAGGGGGGAGAAGCGGAUUAGUAGGAAAACUCCGGCUACCACUAUUGUGCUUGAGUGGAGUAGGGCUGAUACUGGUGUUGGGCCUUCUAUUGCGGAUGGGAGUCACGGGUGAAGUCCAAAUUGGGCAGAUUUUCCGGUGGCUGCUAAUAAUAAUCCUAGAAGAGGAAGUAAAGAGAUUUUAUUUUGUAUUGAGAAGAGUUGCUGUAAAUCCCAUGAGUUAAAAUAUAUGGUGAACCAUGCUAUUGAUAGUACAAAUCCAAUGUCUCCGAUUCGAUUGUAUAGAAUUGCUUGGAGUGCUGCUGUAUUUGCAUCUGCUCGUCCAUACCAUCACCCAAUUAAAAGGAAUGAUAUGAUUCCAACUCCUUCCCAGCCGAUGAAAAGUUGAAAUAUAUUGUUAGCUGUAACUAGAACUAUUAUAGUAAUUAAGAAUAGCAGGAGGUAUUUGAAGAAUUUGUCAAUGUUGGGGUCUGAAUAUAUAUACCACAAGGAGAAUUCCAUAAUGGACCAUGUUACGAAUAAGGCUACGGAUAUAAAUAGGAUAGAGAAAUAGUCUAGUUUAAAACUUAUGCACAGGUUUAAGGACUGAAUAGUUAGUCAAUUUCAGGUUGUUACUACUGCCUCGUGGUUGAGUUGAGGUAAGAAAGAGUGGGGAUUAGGCUAAGUAGGAAGGAUAAUGAGGUAAGAGACUUAACAUAUAUGGGAAAUGGAAGUUUGUUGUGGAUGUUAGUUAUAGAGGUUAAAAUAGGUAAUAAGAGGGUAGAUAGUGUUAGAACGAAAAAUGUAAUAGAUAUAUUAAUUACUUUUAUUUGGAGUUGCACCAAUUUUUUGGUUCCUAAGACCAAUGGAUUACUUCUAUCCUAUAAAAGUUAAGGAAGCCAUAUUUUUAAAUAUGGAGGGAGGAAUUAGCAGUUCCAGUUGUCUUCCUCUUGGGUAAAUAAGAAGGGUUAAUCUUCUAUUGUUAGAUUCACAAUCUAAUGUUUUUGUUAAACUAUAAUUACAGUAUAUGUUACCUAGGAUGAUUUUUGGGUUUAAGCUGAGGAGGAUUAGCGGGAUGAUAUGUAGAACUAUUAGGGAGUUUUCUCGGGUAAAUGAUGGGGUUAUAUCGGUGAUGUGGUAUGGUAGCUUUCCUCGUUGUGUUGUAAUAAAUAUGUAUAGUGUGUAUAGAGCUGUAAUAAGCAUAUUUAAGCCGGUGAGGAUAAUGGUUAGAUUUGACCAAGAGAAUGUUGAUAAAAUAAUAUAUAGUUCUCCUACCAGGUUGAUUGUUGGCGGUAAGGCUAAGUUAGUUAAGCUUGAUAGUAGUCAUCAGACUAUUAUUAAUGGAAGGACUGUUUGAAGGCCUCGAGCUAAAAUUAUAGUACGGCUGUGAAUUCGUUCGUAAUUGGAAUUUGCUAGACAGAACAGGAGGGAGGAUGUCAGGCCGUGGGCGAUUAUUAGGGCAGUUGCCCCUAUGAAGCUUAACGGAGUUUGAAUUAUAAUUGCUACGAUUACUAGCGCCAUGUGACUAAUGGAUGAAUAUGCAAUGAGAGAUUUUAGAUCUGUUUGGCGUAAACAGAUUGAACUAGUUAUAAUUAUAUCACUGUGGUAUGAUGCUUUUCAGUUCUUCUGGGAAUAUGCCUAGAAGUGGAAUAGCUGGAAUAAAUGGGA
Cavia porcellus (domestic guinea pig) is the source of this 3243-nucleotide long non-coding RNA. Lineage: Eukaryota; Metazoa; Chordata; Mammalia; Rodentia; Caviidae. The record is from Ensembl.